This 468-nucleotide ribosomal RNA is filed under the name Peptostreptococcus sp. oral taxon 113. Its description in RNAcentral is "bacterial SSU rRNA". It matches the Rfam family "Bacterial small subunit ribosomal RNA", at positions 28 to 498 of the family's 1533-position model. The record is from RNAcentral. Lineage: Bacteria; Bacillati; Bacillota; Clostridia; Peptostreptococcales; Peptostreptococcaceae.
GAUGAACGUUGGCGACGUGCCUAACACAUGCAAGUCGAGCGGUGAAAAGUGGACUUAAUCUUCGGAAAGAGGAAACUUGGAACAGCGCGGACGGGUGAGUAAUACAUGAGCAACCUGCCUUGGACAGAGGGAUAGCCGUGGGAAACCGCGAUUAAUACCUCAUAAGACCCCACUAUCGCAUGAUAGAGAGGUUAAAGAUUUAUCGGUCCAAGAUGGGCUCAUGACCCAUUAGCUAGUUGGUGAGAUAACAGCCCACCAAGGCGACGAUGGGUAGCCGGCUUGAGAGAGUGACCGGCCACAUUGGAACUGAGACACGGUCCAGACUCCUACGGGAGGCAGCAGUGGGGAAUAUUGCACAAUGGAGGAAACUCUGAUGCAGCGACGUCGCGUGAGCGAAGAAGGUUUUCGAAUCGUAAAGCUCUGUCCUAUGGGAAGAAGAAAGACGGUACCAUAGAAGAAAGCCCGGCU